GUGCUCUCUUAGGCAGCACAUAUACUAAAACUGGAACGAUACAGAGAUGAUGACCAUGGCCCCCGCGCAAAGAGCGACUCCCAAUUCAAACACUGACCUUCUGCUC
This is a small nuclear RNA of Arvicola amphibius (Eurasian water vole), 106 nucleotides long. NCBI's taxonomy places the organism in Eukaryota, Metazoa, Chordata, Mammalia, Rodentia, Cricetidae. The record is from RefSeq and is a predicted model, not a curated record.